Molecule: ribosomal RNA, 561 nt
Filed under: uncultured bacterium
Lineage: Bacteria
Description: partial 16S ribosomal RNA
Rfam family: Bacterial small subunit ribosomal RNA
Source: RNAcentral
UGGGGAAUAUUGGACAAUGGGCGCAAGCCUGAUCCAGCCAUGCCGCGUGAGUGAUGAAGGCCCUAGGGUUGUAAAGCUCUUUCAGCGAGGAGGAUAAUGACGUUACUCGCAGAAGAAGCCCCGGCUAACUUCGUGCCAGCAGCCGCGGUAAUACGAAGGGGGCUAGCGUUGUUCGGGAUCACUGGGCGUAAAGCGCACGUAGGCGGACUUUUAAGUCAGGGGUGAAAUCCCGGGGCUCAACCUCGGAACUGCCUUUGAUACUGGAAGUCUGGAGUCCGAGAGAGGUGAGUGGAACUCCGAGUGUAGAGGUGAAAUUCGUAGAUAUUCGGAAGAACACCAGUGGCGAAGGCGGCUCACUGGCUCGGUACUGACGCUGAGGUGCGAAAAGCGUGGGGAGCAAACAGGAUUAGAUACCCUGGUAGUCCACGCCGUAAACGAUGGAAGCUAGCCGUCAGGGUGCAUGCAUCUUGGUGGCGCAGUUAACGCAUUAAGCUUCCCGCCUGGGGAGUACGGUCGCAAGAUUAAAACUCAAAGGAAUUGACGGGGUCAUAGCUGUUUCCU